This 212-nucleotide long non-coding RNA is filed under the name Mytilus galloprovincialis (Mediterranean mussel). The record is from RNAcentral. Lineage: Eukaryota; Metazoa; Mollusca; Bivalvia; Mytilida; Mytilidae.
CUUAGCAGAAGUUUCAAGGUCAAUAGACAGGAACUAUGGGAUUUGGGCCAAAAAACCUCCAUAGAUAUCAUAUGAGAUUUACCAAUGCUAAUACAACGGCACACCGCAUAUCAUUGAUUGAACAAGUGGUUUCCUCUCAACUGAUAUGAUUAUAAACUUCUACAUUGUUGACCCCUUCGCCGUCUUACUCACAAAUACAGCACGCAUAAGAC